Molecule: ribosomal RNA, 94 nt
Filed under: Enterococcus cecorum
Lineage: Bacteria; Bacillati; Bacillota; Bacilli; Lactobacillales; Enterococcaceae
Source: RNAcentral
GAAGGAUACACCUGUUCCCAUGCCGAACACAGAAGUUAAGCUUCUUAGCGCCGAUAGUAGUUGGGGGUUUCCCCUGUGAGGAUAGGACGUCGCC